CAGACCUCUAAUCGGAAAAGACUACCCGCUGAGUUUAAGCAUAUCACUAAGCGGAGGAGAAGAAACUAACCAGGAUUUCCCUAGUAACGC
This 90-nucleotide ribosomal RNA is filed under the name Hamatocaulis vernicosus. RNAcentral describes it as "partial 25S ribosomal RNA". It matches the Rfam family "Eukaryotic large subunit ribosomal RNA", at positions 1 to 89 of the family's 3401-position model. RNAcentral also lists the same sequence under 1 other name. Lineage: Eukaryota; Viridiplantae; Streptophyta; Bryopsida; Hypnales; Calliergonaceae. The record is from RNAcentral.